RNAcentral lists this ribosomal RNA (480 nucleotides) under uncultured bacterium. RNAcentral's name for it is "bacterial SSU rRNA". It matches the Rfam family "Bacterial small subunit ribosomal RNA", at positions 1 to 474 of the family's 1533-position model. The record is from RNAcentral.
AAUUCGCCCUUAGAGUUUGAUCCUGGCUCAGAUUGAACGCUGGCGGCAUGCCUUACACAUGCAAGUCGAACGGUAACGCGGGGCAACCUGGCGACGAGUGGCGAACGGGUGAGUAAUAUAUCGGAACGUGCCCAGUCGUGGGGGAUAACUGCUCGAAAGAACAGCUAAUACCGCAUACGACCUGAGGGUGAAAGCGGGGGAUCUUCGGACCUCACGCGAUUGGAGCGGCCGAUAUCAGAUUAGGUAGUUGGUGGGGUAAAGGCCUACCAAGCCGACGAUCUGUAGCUGGUCUGAGAGGACGACCAGCCACACUGGGACUGAGACACGGCCCAGACUCCUACGGGAGGCAGCAGUGGGGAAUUUUGGACAAUGGGGGCAACCCUGAUCCAGCCAUGCCGCGUGCGGGAAGAAGGCCUUCGGGUUGUAAACCGCUUUUGUCAGGGAAGAAAUCCUUUGGGCUAAUAACUCGGAGGGAUGACG